UUUAAAAAAAAAAAAAAAAAUUUUAAAAACGGGAGGAGGAACCUCCCUCCCAUUCUCUCUUUUCUCUCCUCUCCUUCCCUCUCUUCUUCUUCUUUCUUUUUCCGGUGACCGGCCGGCGACCUCCCAAGCAGCUCCCCACCCGGUCGGCGACCCUCCAGCGAGGCGACGGCAAGAGCCACCAGAAACGGCGACAAGAGAGGGAGGAGAGAGAGAAAACGCGCGCACAAU
RNAcentral lists this unclassified non-coding RNA (228 nucleotides) under Hevea brasiliensis (rubber tree). Lineage: Eukaryota; Viridiplantae; Streptophyta; Magnoliopsida; Malpighiales; Euphorbiaceae. The record is from RNAcentral.